This 497-nucleotide ribosomal RNA is filed under the name uncultured bacterium. RNAcentral describes it as "partial 16S ribosomal RNA". It matches the Rfam family "Bacterial small subunit ribosomal RNA", at positions 29 to 507 of the family's 1533-position model. The record is from RNAcentral.
ACGAACGCUGGCGGCGUGCCUAAUACAUGCAAGUCGAACGAGAGCAACCGGUGCUUGCACUGGUCAAUCUAGUGGCGAACGGGUGAGUAACACGUGGGUAACCUGCCCAUCAGAGGGGGAUAACAUCCGGAAACGGAUGCUAAAACCGCAUAGGUCUUCGAACCGCAUGGUUUGAAGAGGAAAAGAGGCGCAAGCUUCUGCUGAUGGAUGGACCCGCGGUGCAUUAGCUAGUUGGUGAGGUAACGGCUCACCAAGGCCGUGAUGCAUAGCCGACCUGAGAGGGUGAUCGGCCACAUUGGGACUGAGACACGGCCCAAACUCCUACGGGAGGCAGCAGUAGGGAAUCUUCCGCAAUGGACGCAAGUCUGACGGAGCAACGCCGCGUGAGUGAAGAAGGUUUUCGGAUCGUAAAACUCUGUUGUUAGAGAAGAACAAGUGCUAGAGUAACUGUUAGCGCCUUGACGGUAGCUAACCAGAAAGCCACGGCUAACUACGUG